GUGGAAUUGCAGAAUUUCGUGAAUCAUCGAAUCUUUGAACGCACAUUGCACCCUGUGGUAUUCCACAGGGUAUGCCUGUUUGAGCGUCAUUUCUCUCUCAAAACAUUAACUUGUUUUGGUGUUGAGUGAUACUCGGGCUCCAAACUUGAGUUUGCUUGAAAAGUAUUGGCAAGGAAGAGUGAUUCCACAGCAGUUUAUUUAUUCAAUGUAUUAGGUUUAUCCAACUCGUUGAUUGAUAGGCUUGUAGUGGGGACAUUUGUUUUAAUUCCGGCCUUACAACUAUAGAAAACCAAAGUUUGACCUCAAAUCAGGUAGGAUUACCCGCUGAACUUAAGCAUAUCAAUAAGCGGAGGAAAAGAAACCAACAGGGAUUGCCUUAGUAACGGCGAGUGAAGCGGCAAGAGCUCAAAUUUGAAAUCUAGCACCUUCGGUGUUCGAGUUGUAAUUGAAGAAGGUAUCUUUGGAGUGGCCCUGUCUAUGUUCCUGGAACAGGACGUCACAGAGGGUGAGAAUCCCGUGCGAUGAGGAGUCCAAUUCUA
Molecule: ribosomal RNA, 539 nt
Filed under: [Candida] sp. AZ004
Lineage: Eukaryota; Fungi; Ascomycota; Saccharomycetes; Saccharomycetales
Description: eukaryotic LSU rRNA
Rfam family: Eukaryotic large subunit ribosomal RNA (bases 298-539)
Source: RNAcentral